AUUGAACGCUGGCGGCAUGCCUUACACAUGCAAGUCGAACGGCAGCACGGGUGCUUGCACCUGGUGGCGAGUGGCGAACGGGUGAGUAAUACAUCGGAACAUGUCCUGUAGUGGGGGAUAGCCCGGCGAAAGCCGGAUUAAUACCGCAUACGAUCUACGGAUGAAAGCGGGGGACCUUCGGGCCUCGCGCUAUAGGGUUGGCCGAUGGCUGAUUAGCUAGUUGGUGGGGUAAAGGCCUACCAAGGCGACGCUCAGUAGCUGGUCUGAGAGGACGACCAGCCACACUGGGACUGAGACACGGCCCAGACUCCUACGGGAGGCAGCAGUGGGGAAUUUUGGACAAUGGGCGAAAGCCUGAUCCAGCAAUGCCGCGUGUGUGAAGAAGGCCUUCGGGUUGUAAAGCACUUUUGUCCGGAAAGAAAUCCUUGGCCCUAAUACGGUCGGGGGAUGACGGUACCGGAAGAAUAAGCACCGGCUAACUACGUG
RNAcentral lists this ribosomal RNA (486 nucleotides) under uncultured bacterium. RNAcentral's name for it is "partial 16S ribosomal RNA". It matches the Rfam family "Bacterial small subunit ribosomal RNA", at positions 30 to 507 of the family's 1533-position model. The record is from RNAcentral.